This 450-nucleotide ribosomal RNA is filed under the name uncultured bacterium. Its description in RNAcentral is "bacterial SSU rRNA". It matches the Rfam family "Bacterial small subunit ribosomal RNA", at positions 51 to 497 of the family's 1533-position model. The record is from RNAcentral.
GCACAUGCAAGUCGAACGGCAGCACGGGGGCAACCCUGGUGGCGAGUGGCGAACGGGUGAGUAAUACAUCGGAACGUGUCCUGUAGUGGGGGAUAGCCCGGCGAAAGCCGGAUUAAUACCGCAUACGCUCUGCGGAGGAGAGGGGGGGAUCUUAGGACCUCCCGCUACAGGGGCGGCCGAUGGCAGAUUAGCUAGUUGGUGGGGUNAAGGGCCUACCAGGCGACGAUCUGUAGCUGGUCUGAGAGGACGACCAGCCACACUGGGACUGAGACACGGCCCAGACUCCUACGGGAGGCAGCAGUGGGGAAUUUUGGGACAAUGGGGGGCACCCUGUAUCAAGCAUGCCGCGUGUGUUAAGAAGGCCUUCCGGGUGUCAAGCACCUUUGUCCCGAAAGAAAACGCCGGGGUUAAUACCCGUGGCGAUUACGGUACGGAAGAAUAACCCCGGGU